GGAGAGAUGGCCGAGCGGUUCAAGGCGUAGCAUUGGAACUGCUAUGUAGACUUUUGUUUA
Molecule: transfer RNA, 60 nt
Filed under: Triticum monococcum (einkorn wheat)
Lineage: Eukaryota; Viridiplantae; Streptophyta; Magnoliopsida; Poales; Poaceae
Description: partial tRNA-Ser
Source: RNAcentral